AGAGUUUGAUCCUGGCUCAGAUUGAACGCCGGCGGCAUGCCUUACACAUGCUAGUCGAACGGCAGCACGGGGGCAACCCUGGUGGCGAGUGGCGAACGGGUGAGUAAUGCAUCGGAACGUGCCCAAUAGUGUGGGAUAGCCCGGCGAAAGCCGGAUUAAUACCGCAUACGACCUAAGGGUGAAAGCGGGGGACCGUAAGGCCUCGCGCUAUUGGAGCGGCCGAUGUCAGAUUAGGUUGUUGGUGGGGUAAAAGCCUACCAAGCCGACGAUCUGUAGCUGGUCUGAGAGGACGACCAGCCACACUGGGACUGAGACACGGCCCAGACUCCUACGGGAGGCAGCAGUGGGGAAUUUUGGACAAUGGGCGCAAGCCUGAUCCAGCCAUGCCGCUGCGGGAAGAAGGCCUUCGGGUUGUAAACCGCUUUUGUCAGGGAAGAAAUCCCUUGAGUUAAUACCUCGGGGGGAUGACGGUACCUGAAGAAUAAGCACCGGCUAACUACGUGCCAGCAGCCGUAAUACGUAGGGUGCGAGCGUUAAUCGGAAUUACUGGGCGUAAAGCGUGCGCAGGCGGUUAUGCAAGACAGAUGUGAAAUCCCCGGGCUUAACCUGGGAACUGCAUUUGUGACUGCAUAGCUGGAGUGCGGCAGAGGGGGAUGGAAUUCCGCGUGUAGCAGUGAAAUGCGUACAUAUGCGGAGGAACACCGAUGGCGAAGGCAAUCCCCUGGGCUUGCACUGACGCUCAUGCACGAAAGCGUGGGGAGCAAACAGGAUUAGAUACCCUGGUAGUCCACGCCCUAAACGAUGUCAACUGGUUGUUGGAAGGGUUCCCUUUCAGUAACGAAGCUAACGCGUGAAGUUGACCGCCUGGGGAGUACGGCCGUAAGGUUGAAACUCAAAGGAAUUGACGGGGACCCGCACAAGCGGUGGAUGAUGUGGUUUAAUUCGAUGCAACGCGAAAAACCUUACCUACCCUUGACAUGCCAGGAAUCCUGCAGAGAUGUGGGAGUGCUCGAAAGAGAACCUGGGCACAGGUGCUGCAUGGCCGUCGUCAGCUCGUGUCGUGAGAUGUUGGGUUAAGUCCCGCAACGAGCGCAACCCUUGUCAUUAGUUGCUACGAAAGGGCACUCUAAUGAGACUGCCGGUGACAAACCGGAGGAAGGUGGGGAUGACGUCAGGUCCUCAUGGCCCUUAUGGGUAGGGCUACACACGUCAUACAAUGGCCGGUACAGAGGGCUGCCAACCCGCGAGGGGGAGCUAAUCCCAGAAAACCGGUCGUAGUCCGGAUCGCAGUCUGCAACUCGACUGCGUGAAGUCGGAAUCGCUAGUAAUCGCGGAUCAGCUUGCCGCGGUGAAUACGUUCCCGGGUCUUGUACACACCGCCCGUCACACCAUGGGAGCGGGUUCUGCCAGAAGUAGUUAGCCUAACCGCAAGGAGGGCGAUUACCACGGCAGGGUUCGUGACU
RNAcentral lists this ribosomal RNA (1463 nucleotides) under metagenome. RNAcentral describes it as "bacterial SSU rRNA". It matches the Rfam family "Bacterial small subunit ribosomal RNA". The record is from RNAcentral.